AACGCUGGCGGCAUGCCUUACACAUGCAAGUCGAACGGCAGCAUGGAAGAGCUUGCUCUUCUGAUGGCGAGUGGCGAACGGGUGAGUAAAGCAUCGGAACGUACCGUGUAGUGGGGGAUAACGUAGCGAAAGUUACGCUAAUACCGCAUACGAUCUAAGGAUGAAAGUGGGGGAUCGCAAGACCUCAUGCUCGUGGAGCGGCCGAUAUCUGAUUAGCUAGUUGGUGGGGUAAAAGCCUACCAAGGCGACGAUCAGUAGCUGGUCUGAGAGGACGACCAGCCACACUGGGACUGAGACACGGCCCCAGACUCCUACGGGAGGCAGCAGUGGGGAAUUUUGGACAAUGGACGCAAGUCUGAUCCAGCAAUGCCGCGUGCAGGACGAAGGCCUUCGGGUUGUAAACUGCUUUUGUACAGAACGAAAAGGCUCUGGUUAAUACCUGGGGCUCAUGACGGUACUGUAAGAAUAAGCACCGGCUAACUACGUG
This 487-nucleotide ribosomal RNA is filed under the name uncultured bacterium. RNAcentral describes it as "bacterial SSU rRNA". It matches the Rfam family "Bacterial small subunit ribosomal RNA", at positions 32 to 507 of the family's 1533-position model. The record is from RNAcentral.